GGGGAUUUAGCUCAGUGGAAGAGCGCUUGCCUAGCAAGCGCAAGGCCCUGGGUUCGGUCCCCAGCUCCA
Molecule: non-coding RNA, 69 nt
Organism: Rattus norvegicus (Norway rat)
Lineage: Eukaryota; Metazoa; Chordata; Mammalia; Rodentia; Muridae
Source: Rfam